CUACGGGCGGCAGCAGUGGGGAAUAUUGGACAAUGGGGGCAACCCUGAUCCAGCCAUGCCGCGUGUGUGAAGAAGGCCCUCGGGUUGUAAAGCACUUUCAGUGAGGAAGAACGCCUGGUGGUUAAUACCCAUCAGGAAAGACAUCACUCACAGAAGAAGCACCGGCUAACUCCGUGCCAGCAGCCGCGGUAAUACGGAGGGUGCGAGCGUUAAUCGGAAUUACUGGGCGUAAAGCGCGCGUAGGUGGCUUGAUAAGCCGGUUGUGAAAGCCCCGGGCUCAACCUGGGAACGGCAUCCGGAACUGUCAAGCUAGAGUGCAGGAGAGGAAGGUAGAAUUCCCGGUGUAGCGGUGAAAUGCGUAGAGAUCGGGAGGAAUACCAGUGGCGAAGGCGGCCUUCUGGACUGACACUGACACUGAGGUGCGAAAGCGUGGGUAGCAAACAGGAUUAGAUACCCUUGUAGUC
This 464-nucleotide ribosomal RNA is filed under the name Vreelandella stevensii. Its description in RNAcentral is "partial 16S ribosomal RNA". It matches the Rfam family "Bacterial small subunit ribosomal RNA", at positions 339 to 795 of the family's 1533-position model. The record is from RNAcentral. Lineage: Bacteria; Pseudomonadati; Pseudomonadota; Gammaproteobacteria; Oceanospirillales; Halomonadaceae.